CUAGCUUACGUGGAGGCGCUGGUGGGAUACUACCCUAGCUGUGUUGGCUUUCUAACCCGCACCACUUAUCGUGGUGGGAGACAGUGUCAGGCGGGCAGUUUGACUGGGGCGGUCGCCUCCUAAAAGGGAACGGAGGCGCUCAAAGGUUCCCUCAGAAUGGUUGGAAAUCAUUCAUAGAGUGUAAAGGCAUAAGGGAGCUUGACUGCGAGACCUACAA
This 217-nucleotide ribosomal RNA is filed under the name Staphylococcus aureus. Its description in RNAcentral is "partial 23S ribosomal RNA". It matches the Rfam family "Bacterial large subunit ribosomal RNA", at positions 2171 to 2387 of the family's 2925-position model. The record is from RNAcentral. Lineage: Bacteria; Bacillati; Bacillota; Bacilli; Caryophanales; Staphylococcaceae.